CAUAUCAAUAAGCGGAGGAAAAGAAACUAACAAGGAUUCCCCUAGUAACUGCGAGUGAAGCGGGAAAAGCUCAAAUUUAAAAUCUGGUGGCUUCGCCAUCCGAGUUGUAAUCUGGAGAAGCGUUUUCUGUGUUGGACCGUGUACAAGUCUCUUGGAAUAGAGCGUCAUAGAGGGUGAGAAUCCCGUCUUUGACACGGACUGCCAAUGCUUUGUGAUACGCUCUCGAAGAGUCGAGUUGUUUGGGAAUGCAGCUCUAAAUGGGUGGUAAAUUCCAUCUAAAGCUAAAUAUUGGCGAGAGACCGAUAGCGAACAAGUACCGUGAGGGAAAGAUGAAAAGCACUUUGGAAAGAGAGUUAAACAGUACGUGAAAUUGUUGAAAGGGAAACGCUUGAAGUCAGUCGUGUCUUGUGAGACUCAGCCUUGCUUUUGCUUGGUGUACUUCUUACUCGACAGGCCAACAUCAAUUUUGGUCGGUGGAUAAAGGCUUGAGGAAUGUGGCAUCUUCGGGUGUGUUAUAGCCUCUUGUUGUAUGCAUCGGCUGGGAUUGAGGACCGCAUCUUAGGAUGUUGGCAUAAUGGCUUUAAGCGACCCGUCUUGAAACACGGACCAAGGAGUCUAACAUGCCUGCGAGUGUUAGGGUGGAAAACCCUUGCGCGUAAUGAAAGUGAAAAUUGGGACCUCUGUCAUGGAGGGCACCGAUGCCCGGCCUUGAGCUUCUGUGACGGUGCCGCGGUAGAGCAUGUAUGUUGGGACCCGAAAGAUGGUGAACUAUGCCUGAAUAGGGUGAAGCCAGAGGAAACUCUGGUGGAGGCUCGUAGCGAUUCUGACGUGCAAAUCGAUCGUCAAAUUUGGGUAUAGGGGCGAAAGACUAAUCGAACCAUCUAGUAGCUGGUUCC
RNAcentral lists this ribosomal RNA (896 nucleotides) under Hymenochaetales sp. SHW-2019b. Its description in RNAcentral is "partial large subunit ribosomal RNA". It matches the Rfam family "Eukaryotic large subunit ribosomal RNA", at positions 39 to 958 of the family's 3401-position model. Lineage: Eukaryota; Fungi; Basidiomycota; Agaricomycetes; Hymenochaetales. The record is from RNAcentral.